RNAcentral lists this ribosomal RNA (468 nucleotides) under uncultured bacterium. RNAcentral describes it as "partial 16S ribosomal RNA". It matches the Rfam family "Bacterial small subunit ribosomal RNA", at positions 28 to 507 of the family's 1533-position model. The record is from RNAcentral.
GACGAACGCUGGCGGCGUGCUUAACACAUGCAAGUCGAACGGAAAGGCCCUGCUUUUGUGGGGUGCGCGAGUGGCGAACGGGUGAGUAACACGUGAGUAACCUGCCCUUGACUUUGGGAUAACUUCAGGAAACUGGGGCUAAUACCGGAUAGGAGCUCCUGCUGCAUGGUGGGGGUUGGAAAGUUUCGGCGGGUGGGGAUGGACUCGCGGCUUAUCAGCUUGUUGGUGGGGUAGUGGCUUACCAAGGCUUUGACGGGUAGCCGGCCUGAGAGGGUGACCGGCCACAUUGGGACUGAGAUACGGCCCAGACUCCUACGGGAGGCAGCAGUGGGGAAUAUUGCACAAUGGGCGGAAGCCUGAUGCAGCAACGCCGCGUGCGGGAUGACGGCCUUCGGGUUGUAAACCGCUUUCGCCUGUGACGAAGCGUGAGUGACGGUAAUGGGUAAAGAAGCACCGGCUAACUACGUG